This 267-nucleotide ribosomal RNA is filed under the name uncultured microorganism. RNAcentral's name for it is "partial 16S ribosomal RNA". It matches the Rfam family "Archaeal small subunit ribosomal RNA", at positions 330 to 559 of the family's 1478-position model. The record is from RNAcentral.
GUGCAGCAAGUCGCGAAUACUCCGCAAUGCUCGAAAGAGUGACGGGGAUUCCAAGUGCCUACGCUUAGCGUAGGCUGUUCAGAUGCCUAAAAGCAUCUGGAGUAAGGGCUGGGUAAGACGGUGCCAUCUGCAGUGGUAAUGAAAAACUUGCUGCUGCAAGGCAUAAGCCGCCGCGGUAAUACCCGCAGCCCGAGUGGUAGUCGAUUUUAUUGGGCCUAAAGCGUCCGUAUCCGGUCUGAUAAAUGCGUUAGGGUAAAUCGUCUGGUA